Molecule: unclassified non-coding RNA, 562 nt
Filed under: Hevea brasiliensis (rubber tree)
Lineage: Eukaryota; Viridiplantae; Streptophyta; Magnoliopsida; Malpighiales; Euphorbiaceae
Source: RNAcentral
GUGCAGCAUCUUUACUGCCACUUGUGUGUGACGAAGAAGGCCUCUAUAAAUGCAUCCAUAACCACCUUCUCCAAUCUUCAAGGCUGGGUCAAAAGUCCGAGUUGCUUCUUCAAUUUCAUGAAAAUAAAAUUCAGCAAAUAGUGAAGAUGUAGAUGUUAAUGAAGACCCAUCUGAGUGCUGUUCCCUCAGUGCCUCUGCUGAUUUGAGUGCUUCAUCACGCUCCACCUCCAAUUCAUCUCUCUCCUUCCUGUACUUCUGCAAAAGGUCGACAGCAGAGAACAUUUUCUGUUCCAACUCUUGUACCUGAGCGUCAGAAACUAAGAGUUGACCCUCCAGUGAAGAGUUCUGUGCUUGAGCUGCUUGCAGAUCUCUCAGAAGUUUGUUUAGCUGUGCUUUCAUCUGAUCAGCUUUUUCUCUGUCUUUUGCAAGUGCUUCCUCUAUUUCUCUCCUCCAUCUCAACUCAUCAGCAUAGAAUGUUUCUGAUGCUUUUGCCCUUCGUCUAGCCUCAAUUGCAUCCUUUUCCGCUUUCCUACGCUUGAUUGAUUCUUCAAAAGCUUCCCGC